Molecule: ribosomal RNA, 486 nt
Filed under: uncultured bacterium
Lineage: Bacteria
Description: partial 16S ribosomal RNA
Rfam family: Bacterial small subunit ribosomal RNA
Source: RNAcentral
AUUGAACGCUGGCGGCAUGCCUUACACAUGCAAGUCGAACGGCAGCACGGGUGCUUGCACCUGGUGGCGAGUGGCGAACGGGUUAGUAAUACAUCGGAACAUGUCCUGUAGUGGGGGAUAGCCCGGCGAAAGCCGGAUUAAUACCGCAUACGAUCUACGGAUGAAAGCGGGGGACCUUCGGGCCUCGCGCUAUAGGGUUGGCCGAUGGCUGAUUAGCUAGUUGGUGGGGUAAAGGCCUACCAAGGCGACGAUCAGUAGCUGGUCUGAGAGGACGACCAGCCACACUGGGACUGAGACACGGCCCAGACUCCUACGGGAGGCAGCAGUGGGGAAUUUUGGACAAUGGGCGAAAGCCUGAUCCAGCAAUGCCGCGUGUGUGAAGAAGGCCUUCGGGUUGUAAAGCACUUUUGUCCGGAAAGAAAUCCUUGGCCCUAAUACGGUCGGGGGAUGACGGUACCGGAAGAAUAAGCACCGGCUAACUACGUG